CUAUGUCGUACACGGUCACCACUAACCCGCACUUCGAGCAGCCCCGCAAGGGGAGCGGCAGACGGGUGAGUAACGCGUGGGAAUCUACCCUUGACUACGGAAUAACGCAGGGAAACUUGUGCUAAUACCGUAUGUGUCCUUCGGGAGAAAGAUUUAUCGGUCAAGGAUGAGCCCGCGUUGGAUUAGCUAGUUGGUGGGGUAAAGGCCUACCAAGGCGACGAUCCAUAGCUGGUCUGAGAGGAUGAUCAGCCACAUUGGGACUGAGACACGGCCCAAACUCCUACGGGAGGCAGCAGUGGGGAAUAUUGGACAAUGGGCGCAAGCCUGAUCCAGCCAUGCCGCGUGAGUGAUGAAGGCCCUAGGGUUGUAAAGCUCUUUCACCGGAGAAGAUAAUGACGGUAUCCGGAGAAGAAGCCCCGGCUAACUUCGUGCCAGCAGCCGCGGUAAUACGAAGGGGGCUAGCGUUGUUCGGAAUUACUGGGCGUAAAGCGCACGUAGGCGGAUCGAUCAGUCAGGGGUGAAAUCCCAGGGCUCAACCCUGGAACUGCCUUUGAUACUGUCGAUCUGGAGUAUGGAAGAGGUGAGUGGAAUUCCGAGUGUAGAGGUGAAAUUCGUAGAUAUUCGGAGGAACACCAGUGGCGAAGGCGGCUCACUGGUCCAUUACUGACGCUGAGGUGCGAAAGCGUGGGGAGCAAACAGGAUUACAUACCUGGGUAGUCACGCCGUAAACGAUGAAUGUUAGCCGUCGGGCAGU
This 754-nucleotide ribosomal RNA is filed under the name Rhizobium sp. UFSM-B11. Its description in RNAcentral is "bacterial SSU rRNA". It matches the Rfam family "Bacterial small subunit ribosomal RNA", at positions 58 to 831 of the family's 1533-position model. The record is from RNAcentral. Lineage: Bacteria; Pseudomonadati; Pseudomonadota; Alphaproteobacteria; Hyphomicrobiales; Rhizobiaceae.